RNAcentral lists this ribosomal RNA (200 nucleotides) under uncultured bacterium. RNAcentral describes it as "partial 16S ribosomal RNA". It matches the Rfam family "Bacterial small subunit ribosomal RNA", at positions 29 to 256 of the family's 1533-position model. The record is from RNAcentral.
AACGAAUGCUGGCGGCAUGCCUAACACAUGCAAGUCGAACGAGAUCUUCGGAUCUAGUGGCGCACGGGUGCGUAACGCGUGGGAAUCUACCCUUGGGUUCGGAAUAACAGUUGGAAACGACUGCUAAUACCGGAUAAUGACGUAAGUCCAAAGAUUUAUCGCCCAAGGAUGAGCCCGCGUAGGAUUAGCUAGUUGGUGAG